UAUUUUUUGCAUGGAAUAAUAGAAUAUGAUCUCGGUUCUAUUUUGUUGGUUUUCGGACUCCGAGGUAAUGAUUAAUAGGGAUAACUGGGGGCAUUCGUAUUGCGACGUUAGAGGUGAAAUUCUUGGAUCGUCGCAAGACGGACAUCAGCGAAAGCAUUUGCCAAAGGUGUUUUCAUCAAUCAAGAACGAAAGUUAGAGGUUCGAAGGCGAUUAGAUACCGCCCUAGUUCUAACCAUAAAUGUUGCCACCUGGCGAUCAGCCGACGUUACUUCCGUGGGUCGG
RNAcentral lists this ribosomal RNA (282 nucleotides) under Dyseriocrania subpurpurella. RNAcentral's name for it is "partial 18S ribosomal RNA". It matches the Rfam family "Eukaryotic small subunit ribosomal RNA", at positions 799 to 1079 of the family's 1831-position model. Lineage: Eukaryota; Metazoa; Arthropoda; Insecta; Lepidoptera; Eriocraniidae. The record is from RNAcentral.